Trifolium pratense (red clover) is the source of this 278-nucleotide long non-coding RNA. RefSeq lists it as uncharacterized. The transcript is spliced from 2 exons. The record is from RefSeq and is a predicted model, not a curated record. NCBI's taxonomy places the organism in Eukaryota, Viridiplantae, Streptophyta, Magnoliopsida, Fabales, Fabaceae.
UUGCUUUGAAGUUUGACAGUAAAAACAAAAUACAAAAUCCAACCAACUCGGUAGUUACCCAUUUAGUUUACAAUGAUACACACACCACCGUAGCAUAUAGCAGAAGUAGAUAACAGAAUCUAUCUUCGUUGGAUAAGAAAUUUUCCCACUUUCGCAAAAGCCUUGUGGCUUCUAACAAUGGCUUCUUCAGUUACUUCUUCUUUUCAAAUCAGUUGAUUAGGAGGAAAUAGGAAUAAUUGUGUAUGGAAUGGAGAGAAGGAAAUAGGACAACAACUUGG